CAGCAGCCGCGGUAAUACGUAGGUGGCAAGCGUUGUCCGGAAUUAUUGGGCGUAAAGGGCUCGCAGGCGGUUUCUUAAGUCCGAUGUGAAAGCCCCCGGCUCAACCGGGGAGGGUCAUUGGAAACUGGGAAACUUGAGUGCAGAAGAGGAGAGUGGAAUUCCACGUGUAGCGGUGAAAUGCGUAGAGAUGUGGAGGAACACCAGUGGCGAAGGCGACUCUCUGGUCUGUAACUGACGCUGAGGAGCGAAAGCGUGGGGAGCGAACAGGAUUAGAUACCCGAGUAGUCCCUGUCUCUUAUAC
This 301-nucleotide ribosomal RNA is filed under the name uncultured bacterium. Its description in RNAcentral is "partial 16S ribosomal RNA". It matches the Rfam family "Bacterial small subunit ribosomal RNA", at positions 509 to 807 of the family's 1533-position model. The record is from RNAcentral.